Molecule: ribosomal RNA, 468 nt
Filed under: uncultured bacterium
Lineage: Bacteria
Description: partial 16S ribosomal RNA
Rfam family: Bacterial small subunit ribosomal RNA
Source: RNAcentral
GACGAACGCUGGCGGCGUGCUUAACACAUGCAAGUCGAACGGAAAGGCCCUGCUUUUGUGGGGUGCUCGAGUGGCGAACGGGUGAGUAACACGUGAGUAACCUGCCCUUGACUUUGGGAUAACUUCAGGAAACUGGGGCUAAUACCGGAUAGGAGCUCCUGCUGCAUGGUGGGGGUUGGAAAGUUUCGGCGGUUGGGGAUGGACUCGCGGCUUAUCAGCUUGUUGGUGGGGUAGUGGCUUACCAAGGCUUUGACGGGUAGCCGGCCUGAGAGGGUGACCGGCCACAUUGGGACUGAGCUACGGCCCAGACUCCUACGGGAGGCAGCAGUGGGGAGUAUUGCACAAUGGGCUGAAGCCUGAUGCAGCAACGCCGCGUGCGGGAUGACGGCCUUCGGGUUGUAAACCGCUUUCGCCUGUGACGAAGCGUGAGUGACGGUAAUGGGUAAAGAAGCACCGGCUAACUACGUG